ACUCCAGCUAUUCCAGGAAUGUUUCCUACCAUGUUCCCACUGGCAACCGGUCAGCCCUUUGGGGCCCUUCCUGUUAUGCCGGUUCAGGCAAUGACACAACAGGCUACUAGACAUGCACGGCGUGUUUAUGUGGGAGGGCUACCGCCAACAGCCAAUGAACAGUCUGUUGCCACAUUUUUCAGUCAGGUCAUGGCAGCAAUAGGAGGAAAUACUGCUGGCCCUGGAGAUGCGGUUGUGAAUGUAUACAUUAAUCAUGAG
Molecule: unclassified non-coding RNA, 258 nt
Filed under: Hevea brasiliensis (rubber tree)
Lineage: Eukaryota; Viridiplantae; Streptophyta; Magnoliopsida; Malpighiales; Euphorbiaceae
Source: RNAcentral